Ovis aries (sheep) is the source of this 69-nucleotide transfer RNA. It matches the Rfam family "tRNA". From Rfam's summary of the family: Transfer RNA (tRNA) molecules are approximately 80 nucleotides in length. Their secondary structure includes four short double-helical elements and three loops (D, anti-codon, and T loops). The record is from Rfam. NCBI's taxonomy places the organism in Eukaryota, Metazoa, Chordata, Mammalia, Artiodactyla, Bovidae.
CCUGGUGGCUCAAACUGUAAAGUAUCUGCCUGCAAUGCAGGAGACCUAGGUUCGAGCCUGGGUCCAGGA